UGCAGGCAUACGUUCUUUAUGGUCUAAUGGAGUAUCUGGGCAGAAGCUUUGACCGACAGUUCCCAGCGGAUGAGGUUCUGCUACUGGAUCGUUUCUACAACAUAGAGAUGCUGAAAUCAGAUAAUGAGGACAUUGAAAUUCUUAACCCCGAGGAAGACUUUACCUUGCCUCAGAGUUUCUUUGAUAAGAAAGAGCAGUGACAGAAGUGGUCUUCGCUUCUUUUCUGGGCCUUUUUUUUGUAUAUGGUUGGAGCACUACCGAUCUUUUUUACUCUCUCAAAGAGUUUAAAAUUAAAUAAAACAAGCUUUUUGCUUUUCAUGUAGCACUGAUAUCGGUUAUGUUUGUUUGGAAGGAAAUUUUAAUAAUGCA
Long non-coding RNA from Raphanus sativus (radish), 369 nucleotides. RefSeq lists it as uncharacterized. The record is from RefSeq and is a predicted model, not a curated record. Lineage: Eukaryota; Viridiplantae; Streptophyta; Magnoliopsida; Brassicales; Brassicaceae. The transcript is spliced from 3 exons.